This 460-nucleotide ribosomal RNA is filed under the name uncultured bacterium. RNAcentral's name for it is "partial 16S ribosomal RNA". It matches the Rfam family "Bacterial small subunit ribosomal RNA", at positions 338 to 795 of the family's 1533-position model. The record is from RNAcentral.
ACUACGGGAGGCAGCAGUGAGGAAUAUUGGUCAAUGGGCGUAAGCCUGAACCAGCCAAGUCGCGUGAGGGAUGAAGGUUCUAUGGAUCGUAAACCUCUUUUAUAAGGGAAUAAAGUGUGGGACGUGUCCUGUUUUGUAUGUACCUUAUGAAUAAGCAUCGGCUAACUCCGUGCCAGCAGCCGCGGUAAUACGGAGGAUUCGAGCGUUAACCGGAUUUAUUGGGUUUAAAGGGUGCGUAGGCGGCCUUUUAAGUCAGCGGUGAAAGUCUGUGGCUCAACCAUAGAAUUGCCGUUGAAACUGGGAGGCUUGAGUAUGUUUGAGGCAGGCGGAAUGCGUGGUGUAGCGGUGCAAUGCUUAGAUAUAGCGCAGAACCCAGAUUGCGAAGGCAGCCUGCCAAGCCAUGACUGACGCUGAUGCACGAAAGCGUGGGGAUCAAACAGGAUUAGAUACCCCAGUAGUC